CUCGUUGGUGAGGUAAUAGCUCACCAAGGCUAAGAUGGGUAGGUGGUGUGAGAGCACGGUCAGCCACCGCGGAAUUGAGACACGGUCCGCACUCGUAUGGGAGGCAGCAAUUCGGAAUCGUGUGCAAUGGGGGCAACCCUGACGCAGCGACACAGCGUGGAGGAGGAAGGUAUUCGGAUUGUAAACUCCUUUUAUAUGGGAAGAAUAGAUGACGGUACCAUAUGAAUAAGGACCUGCUAACUACGUGCCAGAAGCAUCGGUAAUGCGUAGGGUCCAAACGUUAUCCGGAUUUACUGGGGGUAAAGAGAUUCGUAGGCGGUUUGAUAAGUCGAGAGUUAAAUACUUCGGUUCAAUCGAAGAGAAGCUUUCGAAACUAUCAGACGUGAGACAUAGAGGGGUGAACGGAAUUCCGAGUGGAGGGGUGAAAUACGUUGAUAUUCGGAGGAACAUCAGUGGCGAAGGUGGUUCAGAGCCUAUUGUCUGACGGUAAGGCUCGAAAGCGUGGGUAGCAAAACGGAUUAGAUACCAGGGUAGUACACGCGGUAAAUGAUCGAUGUUAGGUGUUUGGUAGGAGACUUUCUUUCUUCGGAUGUAAGGGGAAUU
RNAcentral lists this ribosomal RNA (603 nucleotides) under uncultured bacterium. RNAcentral describes it as "bacterial SSU rRNA". It matches the Rfam family "Bacterial small subunit ribosomal RNA", at positions 245 to 863 of the family's 1533-position model. The record is from RNAcentral.